AUGUAUACAAGUGGGAGAAUGACAGAGAGAGAGAGAGAGAGAAAGAUGGAGCGCCGACUGCUUUCCGGUGAGCCCUCCGUCAAACCCAAUUAGCCUCCGCGGCAGCAACACCACGACCACAUGAUGCUUCCUUCAAAAGAGAUAAAGAGAGAAACAUAGAGUGUGGUAUAAGAGAGAGAUAGAGACGGUGACUUUGACAGUUCGGCUUAGGGUUCCGACGAACUCCUUUUGAUGGUAAAUCUGUGCAUAUGUAAGCUGGAGAAGUUGGAGGGUGAAUCCAGUGAUGGCAGAUUAGAAGAAGAGGAGAAGUCAGGAGCAACUUCUGCCUUCCAUCAACAAAAAACGGAAAUUGCCGUCCUGCACACCAGUUGUUUGACUUAAUGCUCAGUUGAGGUUGCUAAAUCCAAGGCAUUCUCAAUAAAAGUUUGGUUCCUUGAUUCGUGUGUCAAGAUAACUCCAGCAAGAAUCGAGCAUAUACAAAUGCCCAGCCUGUACCAACAAGCGAGCGCGCCCUUGAUUGAAUUGUAAGACCGUGUUGCUAGAAUCGAUCAUAGACAUUGAUUUGCUUGAAGGGUGGCUGCAGUAGUGAAAGAUGGUGUGCUGGCUCCAAUUGCUGCUGUGAACCCUGAAGUGCAUUUCGAACCAGGAGCCUUUUGUUUAUGAGCUGGUUCUGGACAUUAUAACUAUCUCACAAGGUUUUAUUGAGUCAUUCU
RNAcentral lists this long non-coding RNA (713 nucleotides) under Helianthus annuus (common sunflower). Lineage: Eukaryota; Viridiplantae; Streptophyta; Magnoliopsida; Asterales; Asteraceae. The record is from RNAcentral.